This 71-nucleotide small RNA is filed under the name Nonlabens xylanidelens. RNAcentral's name for it is "Flavo-1 RNA". It matches the Rfam family "Flavo-1 RNA". Lineage: Bacteria; Pseudomonadati; Bacteroidota; Flavobacteriia; Flavobacteriales; Flavobacteriaceae. The record is from RNAcentral.
UUUGAGUUAGGGAUUGUAGUGGCAUCCUUUUGCUUUUUUGGCAAAAGAUAUAACAGAAAGCCCGCCCACGC